RNAcentral lists this ribosomal RNA (253 nucleotides) under uncultured bacterium. RNAcentral describes it as "partial 16S ribosomal RNA". It matches the Rfam family "Bacterial small subunit ribosomal RNA", at positions 524 to 776 of the family's 1533-position model. The record is from RNAcentral.
UACAGAGGUCUCAAGCGUUGUUCGGAUUCAUUGGGCGUAAAGGGUGUGUAGGUGGCGCGCUAAGUCGGGUGUGAAAUUUCGGAGCUUAACUUCGAAACUGCAUUCGAUACUGGCGUGAUUGAGGACUGGAGAGGAGACUGGAAUUUACGGUGUAGCAGUGAAAUGCGUAGAUAUCGUAAGGAAGACCAGUGGCGAAGGCGGGUCUCUGGACAGUUACUGACACUGAGACACGAAGGCCAGGGGAGCAAACGGG